RNAcentral lists this non-coding RNA (476 nucleotides) under Pan troglodytes (chimpanzee). Lineage: Eukaryota; Metazoa; Chordata; Mammalia; Primates; Hominidae. The record is from RNAcentral.
CCGCCGCCUCUCGGGCGCCUGCGCUCACGCUGCGGGGCCCGGCGCAUUGUGAGCCGGGUCGAGCUCCACGCUGGCAGCGUCUGAGAGCUGUCCUGGGCCGGAGGUGGCGCGAACCCUGUGCGGCCUAGAGUGGGCCUGGGGAAGCCAGCUGCCAUGUUCUGAGUACUCUCUGGAAGGGCCUGCAUGGCAAGGAACUGAUGUUUCCAGCCAGCAGCCAGCAAGAACUGCAAGCCUUGUGAAUGAGCUUGGAAGCAGAUCCUCCCCUCACUCAAGCCAUGAUAUGACAACAGCCUGAGACCCAGAGGUGGAUGGUGGUGAGCUGUGUUUCCAGGCAAAGGGGAGGACAGGACGCCUUGUGGCAGCCCGAGCUGUGAAAAAUAGAAUCAGAAAUCUGAGCGUAGGAAGAAGUGGGUUAGCCCUGGAGAAAGGAAAAGGAGGAUCAUAGUUCUCUGCAAAGAGCUGGAAGCUAAAAAGCA